This 117-nucleotide ribosomal RNA is filed under the name Oscillospiraceae bacterium. The record is from RNAcentral. Lineage: Bacteria; Bacillati; Bacillota; Clostridia; Eubacteriales; Oscillospiraceae.
GUUGGUGUUUUUAACGAUGAGGGUCCACCUGUUCCCAUUCCGAACACAGAAGUUAAGCUCAUCAGUGCCGAAGAUACUUGUCUGGAGACGGACCGGAAAAAUAGGUCAAUGCCAACA